CCUACGGGUGGCAGCAGUAGGGAAUCUUUCACAAUGGGCGAAAGCCUGAUGGAGCAACGCCGCGUGCAGGAUGAAGGCCUUCGGGUUGUAAACUGCUUUUAUAAGCGAGAAAUAUGAUGGUAACUUAUGAAUAAGGAUCGGCUGCCACGUGCCAGCAGCCGCGGUUACACGUAGGAUCCGAGCAUUAUCCGGGGUGACCGGGUGUAAAGAGUUGCGUAGGUGGUAUAAUUAGUAGCUAGUGAAAUCUGGUGGCUUAACCAUUAAGACUAUUAACUAAACUGUUAAGCUCGAGACCGUUAGGGGUAAGCGGAAUUUCUAGUGUAGGAGUGAAAUCCGUAGAUAUUAGGAGGAACACCAAUAGCGUAGGCAGGUUGCUGGGACGGUUCUGACACUGAGGCACGAAAGCGUAGGGAGCAAACGGGAUUAGAUACCCUUGUAGUC
This 441-nucleotide ribosomal RNA is filed under the name uncultured bacterium. Its description in RNAcentral is "partial 16S ribosomal RNA". It matches the Rfam family "Bacterial small subunit ribosomal RNA", at positions 338 to 795 of the family's 1533-position model. The record is from RNAcentral.